GCAAAAAAAAAUCUUUAACCUAGAUCUAUUCUGUGUACAACUCCUUUAUUUACACUUCAUCCUUAGACCUCGUCGCUUCACUGCUCUGUCAUAAAACAAGAAAGAGAGAAAUAGAAGAGGAGGAUAGAGAAGAAAUUCUCAUGGCUGUCAUCUCUUCUUCCUCUCCCUCUUCGUGUGUCGCUGUUAUUACCACAGUCAUUGAGUGGUUAAAAUCUUGAGCCUAGGAGCGUCACGAGGUCGAGAGAAGUGGGCAAAGGUGACCAAGUAAAUAAAGUAUUGCAAGAUGGGCACGCAAAGUGGUAGCUUAGGCCACUUCCGUCAAACUUCCCCUCUGGCCAUCUUCUAUUGUCCAUCCCUCCCUUCCUCCCUCUCACUUUUAUCUGCAUCAGUUGGAGACUCUUCUUUCUAUUGGAUUGGGCCAUGUAUCUGUUGGUACCUUUAUUUUAUUUGAUUUCACUUUUUUUUCUCCCUUUAAUCCUUUCCUCUUUGUGGAUAUCUGCUUAUCGCAAUUUUUUGUUGAUCUUUUUCUUUUUAAAACCUACUUCUUUUUCUCACUAGUUUCAGCACCAAUCUUUAUGUUGAUCUUCAAAUUGACAUCUUUUGGGCAUUGUGCUUGGUAAAGAUGAUUCUUUCCCUUCGAUCUUGUAGCAGGGGUUUGCUCGAGAGGACUGAGGGAGUGCCCGUUACUUCCUUUUUCGCUAGUUCAACAUGAUCAGCAAUCUCAUCACGAGAAGCCUCGCAUGAGUAAUUAGGUUUGGUGUUUGUAAUUUUCCCUUUCUAAUUGUUGUGUGCAGAUUGGUUCUCGGGUAUGCAUGCCUGACUUAUGAAUGCUUCAAACCAUGGAGUUAAACAAGUCGGGCAUAGAGUAGCUACUUUUUUUUGUGUCAGUACUAGUGCGCUCAUGGUUCUUGUCAUGGGUAUAUAAUAAUAAGCUCGACAUUUCUUGGAUCUUUUAUGAGUUAAAUGUGAAAUUUGUGAUAUCUUUUUAGGAUUUUGGUUGUUGUUCUUACCGUCUUUAAAAGAUUGACGGAUAAUUUCAUUUCAUGGUAUUUGUUCUUUUUUAUCCUUUUGCUACACUUGCUUCUCAGUCUUGUGGUUUUGCAUGAUGAUUCUAGUCUCCUUCAAUGGAAUAUGGUUGUUAUUUCUAAGUAAUCAUUUCCAGACAGUUGUUUAUGGUGUUGGUGUUUGUGCUGAAUUUGGCAGUUCUUUGGUUCACCCUUUGGUUGGAGGUAGCUUUAUAUAUAAGACAUUUUUUGCAUACAAUUUAAUGCCUCAAUGCUACUGCUAAUAAGACUUUGUUCAAUAUUUCUUUUUGUACAGAGGUUCUCUUAAUUAGUUUGAAUAAUGUGAUUGCACAUUCUGAUGCAUUGCAAUCAGAUAAUGUAAUGACAUAUGACAAUAUUGUUUCAGUACUUGGAAAAAUAUGCCAAUUUCAUCGUGAUGGUAGUGAUGCAGCUAAGGUAUUGUUAUUGCUCAUAUUUCUUUGCAAUUUUUUUUUGUGUGUGUUUCAUGUGCUUUAUAUUUGUCAAUUUUGAUGUUUGAAGACUUGUAAAAAUAUUUCAAUUUUCUUCUCUUUCUUUUUUUUUUUUUUGGUUCUAACAUUUGGUAAUUGUAAUCAACUAAAGCCUCCCAAAUUAUGAAAUUUUUAUUGCUAAUGGAUGAUAUUAUUUAGGUUAGAUAAGGAAAUAUUAUGCAUUUGUUUUAUUUCAAUUUUUUGCGUGUUGUAUCUCACUUAUUUAAAUCAUUAACAUUUCCUAAUGCUAAACAAGUGCCAUCUUAAAUUGAUUCACCAGAGAAUUCUAAGUAUUGGUUUUCAAUUUGUCUUUUCUCAAGACUUUGUUACUUUUUCUAUAAAUAUUCUUUUUCCCUUCAUUAUUCUUGUACUACAUAAUACUAAUGAAGCAGAAUAUUAUUUUUUUUGAUUUGAUCAAGGGGAGAUUUAUCAACUAUUACUUCAGUAACAAUUGAGGGUUGCAUGGACAUUCAUGUCCACACUAGAAAUCAUGAUGGUUAUAUAUACUUUGAUAUAUGUGCAUUUUUUGUGAACAAAUUCAUGUAAAUAAUAUUGUGUGUAUUUUUUAGGUAGACUAAAGAUUUUUUUUUAAUUGGUCUUAUUUUUUGGCAUGUUCUCCAUGCAAGGGUGAGGUCGUUGGAAGUGGACUUGGAGGAGCAGAAGGUGGUGGUGGUUGGAGACAACAUCACGUCAUUUGAAGUCCUCAAUUGUGUAUCAAAGAUAUGGCUAUGUGAUAAUGGAACCAGUGAAAAAGAAAUGAAGAAGGCCAGAGAAGGGACCACAUAUCUAAUGAGUAGAAAAGCUAUAAUUCUUUUUUAUGCUGUUGUAUGAUGUAUAUUGCUAUAACACUUGCUACAACACUUGUAUAUAUGAGCUUGUACUUCAUAUUGCUAUAA
This is a long non-coding RNA of Zingiber officinale, 2409 nucleotides long. RefSeq lists it as uncharacterized. NCBI's taxonomy places the organism in Eukaryota, Viridiplantae, Streptophyta, Magnoliopsida, Zingiberales, Zingiberaceae. The transcript has 2 exons. The record is from RefSeq and is a predicted model, not a curated record.